AAAUUGAAGAGUUUGAUCAUGGCUCAGAUUGAACGCUGGCGGCAGGCCUAACACAUGCAAGUCGAGCGGAAACGAGUUGUCUGAACCUUCGGGGAACGAUAACGGCGUCGAGCGGCGGACGGGUGAGUAAUGCCUAGGAAAUUGCCCUG
Molecule: ribosomal RNA, 149 nt
Filed under: Vibrio harveyi
Lineage: Bacteria; Pseudomonadati; Pseudomonadota; Gammaproteobacteria; Vibrionales; Vibrionaceae
Also listed under: 1 other name
Description: partial 16S ribosomal RNA
Rfam family: Bacterial small subunit ribosomal RNA
Source: RNAcentral